AUUGAACGCUGGCGGCAGGCUUAACACAUGCAAGUCGAGCGGCAGCGGGAAAGUAGCUUGCUACUUUUGCCGGCGAGCGGCGGACGGGUGAGUAAUGCCUGGGGAUCUGCCCAGUCGAGGGGGAUAACUACUGGAAACGGUAGCUAAUACCGCAUACGCCCUACGGGGGAAAGCAGGGGACCUUCGGGCCUUGCGCGAUUGGAUGAACCCAGGUGGGAUUAGCUAGUUGGGGAGGUAAUGGCUCACCAAGGCGACGAUCCCUAGCUGGUCUGAGAGGAUGAUCAGCCACACUGGAACUGAGACACGGUCCAGACUCCUACGGGAGGCAGCAGUGGGGAAUAUUGCACAAUGGGGGAAACCCUGAUGCAGCCAUGCCGCGUGUGUGAGGAAGGCCUUCGGGUUGUAAAGCACUUUCAGCGAGGAGGAAAGGUUGGUAGCUAAUAACUGCCAGCCGUGACGUUACUCGCAGAAGAAGCACCGGCUAACUCCGUGCCAGCAGCCGCCGUAA
RNAcentral lists this ribosomal RNA (508 nucleotides) under uncultured bacterium. RNAcentral's name for it is "partial 16S ribosomal RNA". It matches the Rfam family "Bacterial small subunit ribosomal RNA", at positions 29 to 523 of the family's 1533-position model. The record is from RNAcentral.